AUGGCGCUCGCCGCCCUCGAGAGCUGCUUCCGCGCCGUCCCGCCAGAGGCCGUCGCCGCCGUCGUCGACUGCGUCCUCGCCUCCUCCUCCCCCUCCUCCGCCUCGCCCUCCGAGCUCUUCCUCUCGCUCCUCGACUCUUUCCCCAAGCUCUCUUCCCCGUCUUCCUUGCAGGUGCAGGACGGCGGCCACGGCCAUGCCGCCGCCCUCUCCCACGCCGCCGCGCUCUGCCAUCUGCUCCCCCGCCUCGGCGACGACCCCAGGGACGCCCUGCGCACGCUGCUCUGGAGGGUCUUCCUGCCGCUCCUCCGCCGGGAGGACGCCCAGCCCAGCCGGCUCCAGCAGCAGGCGGCCGCGCUCAUGUGCGACGCCGUCUCCCGCGCCCGGUCCUGGGACCUGCUCGGAGCCACCGUCCUGCCCUUCUGCGUCCGGUCCUGCGCUGCUGCGAUGGCUUUGCCCACCACCCACCAGUAUGACGGUGACGACUCCAUUGUGUACUGCUACCACUGGGAUGCUGUCGCCCCGGAUGAUGGGCUGUCAGGGGAGGCAGGGCUGCUGCCGCUCUCCAGGGCCACCGCGCUCCUGGCGUCGUUGCUGGGAGACGCGCUGAAGAGGAGAAGGGAGGCCCAUGAGGAGGGCGCCGACGCUUCGCUUGAUGCAUUGGUGCGGAAUUUGACCUGGGACAUGUCUAGGCUGGUGCUCAAGAUGUUUGACCUCUGCCAAGAGUAUCGGUCCUGCGCCACCCGGGCCCUCCUGCAGCCUGUGCUGACUUCACUAGCAGAUGUUUCUUGCGUCACCGUCGAGUUCGGUGCGGUCCAGCUUAAGCUAUCUAGGUCUGGUUUCUUGGAGUCCAUUUGGAACUCCUGUGUCUCUCUGUUCUCUCUUGGCCGCCCUGAGCGGUUGGAUGCGUACGAUAUACUCUCUCUGUACUUCUCGGUGUUGAAAUCGGGACAUCAGGGUGCUAUCCCAGGAGCUGACGAGGUCCAGAACUUUGAUCUAAGGAAUGUCGCUGAAUUUUGGGAUGAACUACGCAGGGGGCUGGUUGACAAGGAUUCUUCAGUAAGGAAGCAGGCCUUUUACGUCUUGAAAACAUCGCUAAGCAUAUUUUCUUUUGGAAAUGAUGGGAGCCAGCGAUGCUCUGGCAGGAGCCCAGCUGCUUUGCCUGGUCAAGACAAAUCAAAUGCCGCUGUGACAAAAAAAGAAAGGUGGGCUAACAAAGAGGCCAAGUCCCUAGGUGUUGAAGAAAUCAAGCAAUCAGAUGAACAAUGUUCAAGUGGUCAAGACCGAUGGAAGGUCUUUCUGUUACUCUAUGAGAUGCUCCAGGAGUUUGGGACACAUUUGGUUGAGGCAGCCUGGACACACCAGGUACUGUUAUUGUUUGAGUCUACCCCACAGAGUGACUAUUUGAAUCACACAUCAUACAGAGCUUUUCAUGCUCAGAUGGAAUCCGUGGAAGGAAUUUUCAACUGGAUGACGGUACUGUGGGAGCGUGGGUUUACUCAGGAUAAUCCUCAAGUGCGGUGCCUCGUAAUGCAAUCCUUUUUGGAUAUUGAAUGGGAACGUUACAAAGGCUACGCCCAAAUGGUCCCUAGAGGCUUUGUUCUUGGCCCUCUCAUACGUGGUUUGAACGAUGUAGUUCAUCAUAAGGAUUUUGGUGUCGGUGGUGUCUAUAAUUCAGAAGCCAUAAAAGGUGCAGAGAGGUUUUUCAGCAAUUAUGCCCGGAAAUUGACGAUACGUGAGCGUUUACAUCUGGUUUGGAGUCUGGCAUCUGCUGCUAAACAAGAUUCAUUUGGCCGACCAGGACUAAUGACUCUUGCAUUCUGUAUUGCGUCAUGCGCUUGUCAGUCAGAUACACAUGACUUACCAUGUGGGUCUGCUGUAAACGAAUUGGCCAAAUGCAACGGAGAUACAUCUAUAGCAGUCAAUACUGUGGAUUUUUUAGAUGCCUUAUGGAUUCUUAGUGAGAGGAGUAAACACCACUUUAAUCCAAAGUAUCGCCUAAAAGUUUGUGAACAGGUUAUCAAAGCCGUAGCAUCGUUGACAAGUGCAGCUGAAAUUCCACUCAAUCAGCUUUUUAAUUUCAUUUCUACAAUACCUCGAGAGUGUACUGAUUCUACUGGACCACUGAGGGGUACAGUCCAGAAAUGGCUUCUUCAGAAAAAAGAAUGUUCUGAGAGGAACACUUUGUUGGAUGAGCUUAUUGAUUUCCCGACCACCUUCAUGAAGCACACAGGCAUAGAGGGGUCGUAUUUAUAUGAUGACGAGGAUGUGGGUGCAUGGGAAGCUGAAGCACGGAGGUGGGCUAGGACCCUUCUUCUUGUAACCUCAGAGGAACAUCAUUUCAAGCAAAUAUUUACGUUCCUGGAGAAAUGUGGUAACAAGCUUUCUGAACAUUCUUCAACGAGAAAAUGUGCUGACGUGAAGUUUUUUAUCAUCAUUAUAUGCUUGAUCGAGGAGCUUGAAGUUAGACAGAAAAAGCUUGUUCACCAAAAUAACGCCAUCGCCGGUGGAGGUUCAGAUACGACAAAUGGAUUAGAGCACCGUGCUCUCACUCAGAUGUUUGAAAAAUCAUUGCUUUCAGUUCUGGAAAAUAUGGUGGCCUUCAGCAAGCAAUCUUGCUCAGUUUUCUGGUUAAAAAAUACAGACAACAUGGAUUUACCAUGUUCUAUUAAAGGAAGGCUUGGAGGUCCGAGUCAGCGUCGUUUAGCUACUUCUAUAACCUCUUCAGUGUUGCAGUGUAUUUGGUCUAUGAGGUGUGUUAGUUCUGUUGUCUCAUGGUGUAACCACUACACCUCUGAUGUUUCUUUUCAUUCAGCAUUUUCAUUCCUCUGGGAAUUCUGUUGGGAAGUGAUCCAGCAUUGUACUUAUGCCACUGAGAUUGGAGCUGAACUUCACUUGGCAGCUUAUGAAGCUCUAGCUUAUGUUCUAGCAGCUCUAUCUACUGCUCCCUUUUCUCAGUUUCUGGAUUUCAUGGAAACAAAGCAAACAAACCAAACCAUCAUAUUAUCAUUGGAUCUUCUGGCGACCACUUUUCUUGGUAAUAUAAACAAUCUCCUUACAAAUGGAGUCCUAACACGAAGCAGACGAGCUGUUUUAAUGUGUUGGAAGUGGCUUUGUGUAGACUCCCUUUUAUCCAUUUCUAGCUGCUGUGAUGAGAAUGAAUCUCAGAUGAAGACAUCAGGUUCCUUUUAUUCAGAUUCAACCCUCCAGUCCAUCUUUAUUGAUAUUAUUGAAAGUCUUGAAAAUGCUGGCGAGAAUUCUGUUGUAUCCAUCCUUAGAUGCGUGAGGUCUGUUUUGGGGCUUAUACACUUAAAUAGGAGUCGCCAAAAUUUAUCCUCUCUGGGCAUCAGUUAUGAGAUGAUGAUGCAAUUGGUAAAGUCUUCCUGGCUCUUGCACCUUAGCUGCAAUAAACGCAGGGUCGCACCAAUUGCUGCACUGCUGUCCGCAAUAUUGCACCCAUCAAUCUUUCCCAAUUUGGAAAUGCACCAGACAAAUGAAAAAGGGCCAGGACCUUUGAAAUGGUUUGUCGAGACUCUUCUUAAUGAAGGCUCAAAGAGUCCUCGAACUAUUCGCCUGGCAGCUUUGCACCUGAGUGGUCUAUGGUUGAUGUACCCCCAAACUCUUAGAUUUUACAUGGAGGAACUUAAGCUAUUAGCAUUAUAUGGAUCUGUGGCAUUCGAUGAAGAUUUUGAAGCUGAACUGUCUGAAAAUCACGAGGCAAGAUUUGAAGUUUCCAUGCUAGCGCAAAGUCCAGACUGUGAAUUCACAGAGGUGUUCAUUAAUACAGAAUUGUAUGCCCGUGUUUCAGUUGCUGCUCUAUUUCAUCAGCUAUGGAAGCAAAUCAAAGAAAAGAGCAAAUUGGAGACAGAAGAAGCUCUUCAAUGUGGCAAACUAUUUUUACUUAAACUUCUGGAUUCAGCGGUGAAUGACAAUGAUCUCUCGAAAGAACUUUACAAGAAAUACAGCAGUGUACAUAGGCGCAAAGUUCGUGUGUGGCAGAUGAUAUGUGUUUUGUCACACUAUGUAGAGGAAGACAUAGUUGAGGAAGUGACAUCUACUGUUCACACCUGUCUUUACAGAAAUAACCUACCUGCUGUCCGGCAGUACUUGGAGACGUUUGCUAUACUUAUUUACUUAAAAUUUCCAACACUGGCUGAAGCACAGCUUGUUCCUAUUUUUCAUGACCACGGAAUGCGACAACAGGCACUAUCUUCAUAUGUUUUUAUAGCAGCAAACGUAAUCCUCCAUUCAGGGGAGCUGGUUGUCCAGAGAAACCAUCUUAAUCAACUGCUUCCUCCAAUAAUUUCAUUUUUAACAUCCCAUCAUCACAGUCUACGUAGUUUCACUCAGCUACUUGUCCACACUGUUUUUUCCAAGUUGUGGCAUAUUUUGCAACUAGAAAGCUCAGAAAAUCCAUCCAUCGAGAGGAGGUGCUUUCAAGAUUUGAAAAAGUAUCUGGCAGAGAAUACCGACUGCGCAAGGCUAAGAGUUUCAAUCGAAGGUUUCCUUGAUGUUUUUGAUCCUGAUAUAUCUGGGACUCCACCGGGAAUAUUUACAGCUCGCAUUGAGUCGUCUGGCUUUGAAUGUGUUCCAGUGUCGGUGUUGGAGCGAGUAAAUAACUUUUUGAAUGACGUGAGGGAGGAGCUGAGGCAUUCUAUGAUAAAGGAUUCAGCAACAAUCAAGAACGAGGGUCUGGCGGUGAGCAAACACGAGGAGGGCACCGAAGAGAAGAUAGUAGCCAGUCAAGAUUUCCAGAAGAAGAUCAUACCCCACCGGGACUCGGAGCAAGCAGCGAGCAGCAACGGUGCGGUCAUGGGCAACAAUGACAUCUCGCGACUGCUCUUCGAGAUGGAGGAAGACGACGACACGUUCAACCUUGCGGUGGAAUCAAGGAAGGAGGCGGCGGAGACUGUGAGGCAGAGCCGGCAGGAUCUGAUCGUGGUGGCGUCGUUGGUGGAGCGGAUCCCGAACCUGGCGGGGCUGACCCGGACGUGCGAGAUAUUCAGGGCUGGCGGGCUGGCGGUGGGGGACAUGGGGGUGGUCCAGGACAAGCAGUUCCGGCUGAUCAGCGUGACUGCGGAGAAGUGGGUGCCGAUGGUGGAGGUGCCGGCGGAGAGCGUGAGGGCGUUUUUACAGAGGAAGCGGGCGGAGGGGUACACGGUGGUGGGGCUGGAGCAGACGGCCAACAGCGUGGCGCUAGACGAGUUUGUGUUCCCGGCCAAGACGGUGGUUGUGCUAGGGCGGGAGAAGGAAGGGAUCCCGGUGGACAUCAUCCAGGAGGCGGUGGACGUGUGUGUCGAGAUCCCGCAGCUUGGCGUCGUCCGGUCACUCAACGUACAUGUCAGCGCCGCCAUCGCCAUCUGGGACUACACCCGUCAGCAGCGCUCCCGCUCCUCCUCCUCGCGGUAG
RNAcentral lists this ribosomal RNA (5406 nucleotides) under Triticum aestivum (bread wheat). RNAcentral describes it as "partial small subunit ribosomal RNA". The record is from RNAcentral. Lineage: Eukaryota; Viridiplantae; Streptophyta; Magnoliopsida; Poales; Poaceae.